Arachis stenosperma is the source of this 460-nucleotide long non-coding RNA. RefSeq lists it as uncharacterized. The transcript is spliced from 4 exons. The record is from RefSeq and is a predicted model, not a curated record. Lineage: Eukaryota; Viridiplantae; Streptophyta; Magnoliopsida; Fabales; Fabaceae.
GCAAAAUUCUAGGGUUUGUGUUUGCGGUUCCAUAAUGUCUCAGAACGGGAAGCUCAUCCCAAUCUCGACCAGCACAGCACCAAGCUCCUCAACCUCACUGAUCUUCAGCGCAUCGAUCCCUUCGUCGAGGAAAUCCUCAUCACCGCUGCACACGUCACCUUCUACGAGUUCAACAUCGACCUCUCCCAAUGGAGCCGCAAGGACGUCGAGGGAUCCCUCUUCGUUGUCAAAAGAAAUAAAAAGCAUAGCUUGGAUCUACUAAGUCAUCAAGAACAGAUGAAAAGAUUCGGACAUCACCUUAAACUAUUGUUCAGUGAUAAGAAACCAUCACAAUCUCAGACAAAACAACUCUGCAGAGGUUUCUGUCAGGGGACUAAGGUUGUUUCUCCAAACCAAGAUGAUUUUGCUAUGAUUUCACCAAGAAUUAAACUCAGAUGGGAGGCACCUGGCUUAUCUUGAG